CCAACUCCCAAGAUCAUCAUCAUCAUCAUCUUCAUCGAACAGAUCAACAGAUCAUCUUUAUCAUCUUCAUCGAACAUCUUCAUCAUCGAACAUCUUUAUCAUCGAACAGAUCAGAAUGGCUGCGGAUGUAAAGAUACGCAAAACACCAACUACGAAGGCGAGAACACUUGACAACCUCCUAGAAGAUGGUGCGGUGCACAUAAGGAAGUGAUUGAUAU
Helianthus annuus (common sunflower) is the source of this 218-nucleotide long non-coding RNA. RefSeq lists it as uncharacterized. NCBI's taxonomy places the organism in Eukaryota, Viridiplantae, Streptophyta, Magnoliopsida, Asterales, Asteraceae. The record is from RefSeq and is a predicted model, not a curated record. The transcript has 2 exons.